RNAcentral lists this ribosomal RNA (434 nucleotides) under uncultured bacterium. RNAcentral's name for it is "bacterial SSU rRNA". It matches the Rfam family "Bacterial small subunit ribosomal RNA", at positions 917 to 1349 of the family's 1533-position model. The record is from RNAcentral.
GGGCCCGCACAAGCGGUGGAGUAUGUGGUUUAAUUCGAAGAUACGCGCAGAACCUUACCAACACUUGACAUGUUCGUCGCGACUUUAAGAGAUUAAAGUUUUCGGUUCGGCCGGACGAAACACAGGUGCUGCAUGGCUGUCGUCAGCUCGUGUCGUGAGAUGUUGGGUUAAGUCCCGCAACGAGCGCAACCCUCACUUUUAGUUGCCAUCAUUAAGUUGGGCACUCUGAAAGAACUGCCAGUGAUAAGCUGGAGGAAGGUGGGGAUGACGUCAAGUCCUCAUGGCCCUUACGUGUUGGGCUACACACGUGCUACAAUGGUAUCUACAACAGGAAGCAAAACUGCGAGGUUAAGCAAAUCCUUAAAAGAUACCUCAGUUCGGAUUGCACUCUGCAACUCGAGUGCAUGAAGCUGGAAUUACUAGUAAUCGUGGAU